CCUACGGGGGGCUGCAGUGGGGAAUAUUGGACAAUGGGGGCAACCCUGAUCCAGCCAUGCCGCGUGUGUGAAGAAGGCCCUCGGGUUUUAAAGCACUUUCAGUGAGGAAGAACGCCUGGUGGUUAAUACCCAUCAGGAAAGACAUCACUCACAGAAGAAGCACCGGCUAACUCCGUGCCAGCAGCCGCGGUAAUACGGAGGGUGCGAGCGUUAAUCGGAAUUACUGGGCGUAAAGCGCGCGUAGGUGGCUUGAUAAGCCGGUUGUGAAAGCCCCGGGCUCAACCUGGGAACGGCAUCCGGAACUGUCAAGCUAGAGUGCAGGAGAGGAAGGUAGAAUUCCCGGUGUAGCGGUGAAAUGCGUAGAGAUCGGGAGGAAUACCAGUGGCGAAGGCGGCCUUCUGGACUGACACUGACACUGAGGUGCGAAAGCGUGGGUAGCAAACAGGAUUAGAUACCCCGGUAGUC
This 465-nucleotide ribosomal RNA is filed under the name Vreelandella stevensii. RNAcentral describes it as "partial 16S ribosomal RNA". It matches the Rfam family "Bacterial small subunit ribosomal RNA", at positions 338 to 795 of the family's 1533-position model. The record is from RNAcentral. Lineage: Bacteria; Pseudomonadati; Pseudomonadota; Gammaproteobacteria; Oceanospirillales; Halomonadaceae.